RNAcentral lists this ribosomal RNA (319 nucleotides) under uncultured eukaryote. Its description in RNAcentral is "partial 18S ribosomal RNA". It matches the Rfam family "Eukaryotic small subunit ribosomal RNA", at positions 1470 to 1796 of the family's 1831-position model. The record is from RNAcentral.
CCCUUAGAUGUUCUGGGCAGCACGCGCGCUACAAUGGUCUUCGCAAACGGAUGCAUUCUCGAAGGAGAAUGCCAAUCUUGGAAUCUAUGCCUUGGUCGGGACAGUUGCUUGCAAUUUUUCGACUCGAACCAGCAAUUCCUUGUAAUCGUGAUUCAUCACAUCACGAUGAAUACGUCCCUGCCCUUUGUACACACCGCCCGUCGCUCCUACCGAUCGAAGAGUUAGGUGAAUUGUUUUGAUCGAUAAGAUUUGACUAUGGUCAACUCUCGUUGUGAAAUUCUGUGAAUCUGACUGUUUAGAGGAAGGAAAAGUCGUAACA